This is a long non-coding RNA of Aedes albopictus (Asian tiger mosquito), 1448 nucleotides long. RefSeq lists it as uncharacterized. The record is from RefSeq and is a predicted model, not a curated record. The transcript is spliced from 2 exons. NCBI's taxonomy places the organism in Eukaryota, Metazoa, Arthropoda, Insecta, Diptera, Culicidae.
AGAGGCAUUCCAAGAAGCUUCAGAGCAUUCUCAGCGGAUUUCAGAAACGUUACAGAUGCGUUACAUGGCGUUUUCUGGGGUUUCGGAGGGUCUGAGGUGCGUUACAUGGGGUUUCUGGGGGUAUUAGGGGGAUUUUGAAGGCAUUCCAAAGAGCUUCAGAGCAUUUUCGGCGGAUUUCAGAAACGUUACGGAGGCGUUACAUGGCGUUUUCUGGGGUUUCGGAGGGUCUGAGAUGCGUUACAUGGGGUUUCUGGGGGUUUUAGGGGGAUUUUGGAGACAUUCCAAAGAGCUUCAGAGCACUUUCGGCGGAUUUCAGAAACGUUACGGAGGCGUUACAUGGCGUUUUCUGGGGUUUCGGAGGGUCUGAGGUGCGUUACAUGGGGUUUCUGGGGGUACCGUCUUACCCCGCUGGUUUGACACGUUUUAAUACGACACUUUUUAAUUCGUACCCCGCUUAUUCGACAAAUGUCGAAUUAAAAAGAGUUCAAAUGUCACAGCGAUGUACACUGUAAAUGCAAAACAGUUCUAUAUUGUGCUUAUACUCGCACCCGCAGCAGCUCCACUUGCAGCCGAUAAUUACGGAAGCUCGAAGUUUGUGCUAUUCGACACCCAAACCGCCUGGAGACGAACCGGAAUGAACUGAGGAUGGAAAAAAUCGUAGAAAAAACUAGAUUUUCUUUCGAACCACCGCAAUAUCUGUUGAAAUUAUGUUUCAUAACAAAUCUGGAAAUCAAAACAAAAACAAAAAUAAAGUUGCCAAAUUUCAAUGAGCAAGAUGGUGUAGGGUAACCAGUUUGCCGAAUCAAGUUUACCCCGGUUAUUCGACAACAGUCGGUGUCGUAUUACCGGGGUAAUACGGUAGUCAAAGCUAGAAACCGGAAGAUAAAGAGUAGUUAUUUCAAAUAAGGGUAAAUAAUUGCUGUUUUGUUGGGAACUCUAAGAGUUCUGGAGAGCCAAAGUUGAGCAAUUUCGCUUUUUUGCGCUGCGUCUCAAGAGGGUUAUUGGAAUAUUUGAUGCUGGAGGCCUGGGAAGAUUUUCUGUUGAAAUCUAGUCUCAGAAAAAAAAACCCCAGUAGGAAUCAUGAGAGGAACAUCAGAAAAAAAUCCCGGGAAGAAUCCAUGAAGCCAUUAAGGUAUUUUCAAGCAAAACCUGGAAGAAUCCGGGAGGAAUCCCUGAAGAAAUUACAGUAAAAUGUCGUAUGAAAUCCCUGGAAGAAAGACAGAAUCCUGAAGGAAUUCUUUAAGCAAUCCCUUGAUGUAUUCGUAAAGGAAUCAAGUGAGAAUGAACAAUCCUGGAGGAAUUCCUGCAGGAAUCUCUGGAGGAAUCCUUGGAGAAAGCUCUGGAGAAUUUCCGGAGGGAUCACUGAUGGCUUCUUUGAAGGAAUCUCUGGAGAAAUUCUGGCAGAAAUCAACGAAGGAAUUUCAUCAUAAUUGCCUAAAUGAAUUCUG